AUGACCCACCCACUCUACCACCUGAGCCACAGCCGCCCCAUGUGUGUGUCUGUGUGUGUCCCAUGAUGCUUGAUUCCAAUGUGCAAGAUAUCUACGUUUAAACAGGACUUACACCAACAUUAGCACGUAUAUGCGGGCUUUUUUAAACGUCGGUAAAAACCUGCUAAAAUAAGUGAUUGACUCCUUUCACGUUGCCAUUGAGUUUGCCUUUUCUGUUUGUUUGUUUUUUUUUGGAUGUGUCGCGCUCGAAGUCACAAACGUGUCGGAAAACGCAAGGGUUGUGGGGAGCCGAUCCCAGAUGACCCUACAUGCUGUCGCUGCCUCUCUGAUGCCCGACCAUCCUCUCGCUCCUCUCCUGCUUGACGACUCUCCUGACCCCACCUGAACGCGCCAUGUCUUCGUCUUCUCUGGAGAGUCCUGGUCAGAGCCACUGUAAAUCACCUCCAUACUGUAUUCCCUGUCAUCAAACUGCAACAAAGGGAAUAAAGAAGAUUUCAUUGCCUGGAGGUGGAAGAAGGAGUGAAUAUCUGAAAGUUCAUAUUCAAGCUCCUUCUCAUUUAUCCCUCAAAAGUGCAUCAUUGUCAUGGAAACCAUCUCCCAUAACUGUAGCGAGAGAGGUAUGGAAAUACUCCUCCAGGCAGAGUCAUGCAGUAACUGUUUUCAGAUGUACUAUCAGCUGACAUUCGCCAUCAAAAGCCAAUUAAAUUUGGAGAUUCGAUUCCCUACUAUGACAAGAACUUGAUUACCACCAUUCAAAUGUUCUCUGUAUUAUUUCAAAGUGUCUUAAAAAGUGAUGCUUGUAGAAAACCUUGCAUUCAUCAUGGCAGCCAAGGACAAGCUCUAAAGUCAUUUUGAGUUUGAAGGCUUCUGUUUUUUAUUUUUCUGUUUUAAUUUGUGUGGCCAAAUAAAUGCUUUGCAACUAACAAGAUCAGUCUUUGUGCAGACCUCUACAUAGAUGUAUACAAAUCAAAACUUGCUCAGAGUUUGAUUGCAGUUAAGGUACAAGAUGAUUAUUUAGGAGUGAAUCUCCAACUUUCU
Siniperca chuatsi (mandarin fish) is the source of this 1038-nucleotide long non-coding RNA. RefSeq lists it as uncharacterized. Lineage: Eukaryota; Metazoa; Chordata; Actinopteri; Centrarchiformes; Sinipercidae. The transcript has 4 exons. The record is from RefSeq and is a predicted model, not a curated record.